Small nuclear RNA from Trichechus manatus latirostris (Florida manatee), 108 nucleotides. The record is from RefSeq and is a predicted model, not a curated record. NCBI's taxonomy places the organism in Eukaryota, Metazoa, Chordata, Mammalia, Sirenia, Trichechidae.
UUGCUCAAUUUGGCAGCACAUAGGCUAAAAUUGGAACAAUACAGAGAAGAUUAGCAUGGCCUCUGUGGCAAGGAUGACACGAAAAUUUGUGAAACGUUCCAGGUUUUU